Molecule: ribosomal RNA, 468 nt
Filed under: uncultured bacterium
Lineage: Bacteria
Description: partial 16S ribosomal RNA
Rfam family: Bacterial small subunit ribosomal RNA
Source: RNAcentral
GACGAACGCUGGCGGCGUGCUUAACACAUGCAAGUCGAACGGAAAGGCCCUGCUUUUGUGGGGUGCUCGAGUGGCGAACGGGUGAGUAACACGUGAGUAACCUGCCCUUGACUUUGGGAUAACUUCAGGAAACUGGGGCUAAUACCGGAUAGGAGCUCCUGCUGCAUGGUGGGGGUUGGAAAGUUUCGGCGGUUGGGGAUGGACUCGCGGCUUAUCAGCUUGUUGGUGGGGUAGUGGCUUACCAAGGCUUUGACGGGUAGCCGGCCUGAGAGGGUGACCGGCCACAUUGGGACUGAGAUAGGGCCCAGACGCCUACGGGAGGCAUCAGUGGGGAAUAUUGCACAAUGGGCGGAAGCCUGAUGGAGCAACGCCGCGUGCGGGAUGACGGCCUUCGGGGUGUAAACCGCUUGCGCCUGUGACGAAGCGUGAGUGACGGUAAUGGGUAAAGAAGCACCGGCUAACUACGUG